AUCCAGCUGAUGAAUCCAAAAUAAGACGAACGCGCUUCAAACUGGAU
This 47-nucleotide non-coding RNA is filed under the name Schistosoma margrebowiei. The record is from RNAcentral. Lineage: Eukaryota; Metazoa; Platyhelminthes; Trematoda; Strigeidida; Schistosomatidae.